Molecule: ribosomal RNA, 429 nt
Filed under: Verrucomicrobiota bacterium
Lineage: Bacteria; Pseudomonadati; Verrucomicrobiota
Description: Verrucomicrobia bacterium partial 16S ribosomal RNA
Rfam family: Bacterial small subunit ribosomal RNA
Source: RNAcentral
UGGGGAAUCUUCCGCAAUGGACGAAAGUCUGACGGAGCAACGCCGCGUGAGUGAAGACGGCCUUCGGGUUGUAAAGCUCUGUGAUUCGGGACGAAAGGCCAUAUGUGAAUAAUAUAUGGAAAUGACGGUACCGAAAAAGCAAGCCACGGCUAACUACGUGCCAGCAGCCGCGGUAAUACGAAGGGGGCUAGCGUUGUUCGGAUUUACUGGGCGUAAAGCGCACGUAGGCGGACUUUUAAGUCAGGGGUGAAAUCCCGGGGCUCAACCCCGGAACUGCCUUUGAUACUGGAAGUCUUGAGUAUGGUAGAGGUGAGUGGAAUUCCGAGUGUAGAGGUGAAAUUCGUAGAUAUUCGGAGGAACACCAGUGGCGAAGGCGGCUCACUGGACCAUUACUGACGCUGAGGUGCGAAAGCGUGGGGAGCAAACAGG